RNAcentral lists this ribosomal RNA (393 nucleotides) under uncultured bacterium. RNAcentral's name for it is "partial 16S ribosomal RNA". It matches the Rfam family "Bacterial small subunit ribosomal RNA", at positions 523 to 918 of the family's 1533-position model. The record is from RNAcentral.
AUACGGAGGAUGCGAGCGUUAUCCGGAUUUAUUGGGUUUAAAGGGUGCGUAGGUGGUAGAUUAAGUCAGCGGUGAAAGAUUGUCGCUCCACGAUAAAAUUGCCGUUGAUACUGGUUUACUUGAGUAUAGUUGAAGUAGGCGGAAUGCGUGGUGUAGCGGUGAAAUGCAUAGAUAUCACGCAGAACUCCGAUUGCGAAGGCAGCUUACUAAGUUAUAACUGACACUGAAGCACGAAAGCGUGGGUAUCAAACAGGAUUAGAUACCCUGGUAGUCCACGCAGUAAACGAUGAUUACUAGCUGUUUGCGAUACACUGUAAGCGGCCAAGCGAAAGCGAUAAGUAUUCCACCUGGGGAGUACGCCGGCAACGGUGAAACUCAAAUGAAUUGGCGGGG